GUUUUAAUAGUUUAAUAUAAAAUAUUGGUCUUGUAAAUCAAUGAUAUGAUAAAAAUCAUUUAAAACU
RNAcentral lists this transfer RNA (67 nucleotides) under Asyndetus clavipes. Its description in RNAcentral is "tRNA-Thr". It matches the Rfam family "tRNA". Rfam says of the family: Transfer RNA (tRNA) molecules are approximately 80 nucleotides in length. Their secondary structure includes four short double-helical elements and three loops (D, anti-codon, and T loops). Lineage: Eukaryota; Metazoa; Arthropoda; Insecta; Diptera; Dolichopodidae. The record is from RNAcentral.